RNAcentral lists this long non-coding RNA (495 nucleotides) under Homo sapiens (human). Its description in RNAcentral is "HSALNT0343661". Lineage: Eukaryota; Metazoa; Chordata; Mammalia; Primates; Hominidae. The record is from RNAcentral.
GCAGAAAGUGAUGAAUCAGAGGCUGAAGUGAAGUUACAAAGUUAUACUCCUAUGCAAAGGAAGACUUGGCCUGUGACCAGCCUGAUUGACUGCAGGAGGGGACCAGUCAGAGUAUCUUACAGAGCAAGACUGCAGAUCAAGAUUUUCCAACGUGGUGCUGACUUUUUUGAGAACAGUUAAUGAGAACUAGGAAAGUCCUUGCAGACCAUCCAGUCCAGCGGCUUUCAAAUGGAAAAUGUGAAAGGACAACAGAAUCACAUGGAUUCUUUUCUGAACUGCUUUUUUCCAGUGAUGCCAUAUUCUAUAAGACUUCAUGUGAAGGUGUGGAGGACGGGUAAUGUCUGAAUCUUCCAGGCAAUGAGAGGGAUGGUGUGAGUCUGGAAAUUCUUUGUGAUGGUCUGAGACUCCCCUUACUCCAGUUAAGAACACUGACUUAAUUCGAUCUGGUUUUUUUUAACAAAUGGCCUCUGAGACGUAGAGCAGUGAGGAUAAGGA